This 145-nucleotide ribosomal RNA is filed under the name Scutellospora sp. RDv1. RNAcentral describes it as "partial small subunit ribosomal RNA". It matches the Rfam family "Eukaryotic small subunit ribosomal RNA", at positions 82 to 228 of the family's 1831-position model. The record is from RNAcentral. Lineage: Eukaryota; Fungi; Glomeromycota; Glomeromycetes; Diversisporales; Gigasporaceae.
UGAAACUGCGAAUGGCUCAUUAAAUCAGUUAUAGUUUAUUUGAUAGUACAAUUACUACCUGGAUAACCGUGGUAAUUCUAGAGCUAAUACAUGCUAAAAGUCUCGACUUCUGAAAGGGACGUAUUUAUUAGAUAAAAACCAAUAA